This is a long non-coding RNA of Nicotiana tabacum (common tobacco), 733 nucleotides long. RefSeq lists it as uncharacterized. Lineage: Eukaryota; Viridiplantae; Streptophyta; Magnoliopsida; Solanales; Solanaceae. The record is from RefSeq and is a predicted model, not a curated record.
CCUAAGAAAACCUCCCUCUUUUAAAAGAAAAAUGAUAAACGGCGCACCCCUCCCAUCUUGAAAGAGAUCAGAUUCUCCCAUUUUUGGAAACCCCAACACCGUCUCCCUCCCCGCUAAUUCCAUUUCUCUAAAUUACAUCCCAGAUCCUCACUCUCAAAAGAUACACGCAUUCAAAACACUGGCUAACAUACGAAAUUGAGGCUGCAAUUAAAAAAUCAUUUCUGAGAUUUUAGAACAAAGGUUUCAAAAAAACAGAGACAAAUGAGAAUCAAAAGCAAUGUUCUGAAAUUACUCUCUUAUUGUUGUGUUAUAUUCCACAUUUUUGGGUUUUAAAGAGAAGUCCAAUUCAAAUCGCCGUUCGAUUUUCGCUGCUUUUGCUAUCGCUGCGUCGCCGAUGUUUCUGUUGUUGGAGUUUCCCCUCAAUUUCAGAACUCUGUUCGGUCAAAUUCAAUUGUUCUUGCUAUUAGAUUUUGGAGCUUCGGGUCCUUCUAGCGAGGGUUGAUAACUUCCAGCAGAUUGUUGGGAGUCCACUAGGUAGCUGCUCGGGUUUCGCAGCCCAGUGUUUCUACUUCCUAUCUUCAUUUUCAUUUGUACCGGAUUUCUUUAUAGUCGACUAUGUAGACUCUUCCUACUUUUAGACAGUUAUUUAGAUGUUCAUGACUGGUGACACCCUGAUGUCGGGCUGUAUUGGUUUUUUCGCAUAUUAUACUAUUUCACUUUUAUUUUGGGAUUA